RNAcentral lists this ribosomal RNA (855 nucleotides) under Peyssonnelia caulifera. RNAcentral describes it as "eukaryotic LSU rRNA". It matches the Rfam family "Eukaryotic large subunit ribosomal RNA", at positions 1292 to 2167 of the family's 3401-position model. Lineage: Eukaryota; Rhodophyta; Florideophyceae; Peyssonneliales; Peyssonneliaceae. The record is from RNAcentral.
ACCUGCCGAAUGAAUUAGCCCUGAAAAUGGAUGGCGCUGAAGCGGGUGGCCGACACCACACCGUGUGAAUAAUUAUUUGUCGAAAUUACAUGAGUAGGAGGGCGUUGCGGGCGUGGAGAAGCAUGGGCGUGAGCCCGUGUGGAACGGUCCGCUAGUGCAGAUCUUGGUGGUAGUAGCAAGUAUUCAAGCGAGAACCUUGAAGGGCGAAGCGGGGAAGGGUUCCACGCGAACAUUGAUUGGGCGUGGGUGAGUCGUUCCUAAGCCGAGUGGCAAUUGCUAAGUAUUAUGGCGAAAGGGAAGCGGGUUGACAUUCCCGCACACGGAUGUGGAGCGCGGCGACGCGUAAUGGGGUGAACACGCUGGCGAUGGCGCUGGGCAGAGUUGUCUUUUCUGUUUGACCGAGUGUGCGCGCUGUGUGGAAUCCGCUUGUCGGGAGAAACACGCCUGCACGGGCAGAGCGCCGGGGCUUUUCCGGCGUCCAGCUCGCCAUCGACGGCCCUUGAAACUUUGCCUGCUGAAAUAAAUCCACGCCGUGGCGUACCGAUCACCGCAUCAGGUCCCCGAGGUGAACAGCCUCUGCUCGAUAUGAACAAUGCAGGUAAGGGAAGUCGGCAAAUUGGACCCGUAACUUUGGGAAAAGGGUUGGCUCUAGUGCUGCGUGGGAGAGGUUGUCCGUGUGUGGGGGCGGAGGGUGCGCUGGCUCUGGCGCGGGAUCUCUGGUUCGUCCGGAGCACCUGUUCUGGGCUGCUUACUCACUGCCUUCCACCUCAGACGACGCCCACGGCAUGCAGCAGACUAGAACUGCAACGGGCAAAGGGAAUCCGACUGUUUAAUUAAAACAAAGCAUUGAGAAGG